CAAAUAUCUUCCACUGAGAUCGUGUGGUUUUAAUCAUACAAGGAGAGUGGCAGAAGAACAGAAAGAUUGAAACCAAGGACAGAGAACACCUGAAAUUGCUUCAGGGUCAUAUGUCACAGCGCUGGGCAUUUCAUUUGGGUAUCUAUCAUCAUUCCCAUUCUGCAAUGAGGAAAUGCUGUCAGAGUGAUUAAGUAAUUUGCCCAUGGUCUCACAUAGAAGCCUGUCUUCUCCAGGGAACACAGCACUCAGAAUCGUCUCGGCCCCUGCAUAAGCCUGCAUGAGCCUGGGCUCUGGGGACCCAUCCUGGUGCAUCAUUCGUUGGCUCUGUGACAAUGGGCACAUCGUUUAACCUCUCUUGGCUUCAUUCUCCUUACUGGAAUGAUGGAGAGAGUUUUGCCUAUUUCAGAGGCUUGCUCUUCUAUACGUGAGCCUAUAAGUAACUUGUCUUAAGAAUUUCCACUCCUUCUGUACUCUGAUUUAAAUUUGAAGGCAUCAAAACAAAAACAAUCAAGAUUUCAGAUUCCAAAUACUUUCAUUUUCAUUUUUUAUUUUGAUUAGAAUUUCUUCUGAAUGAAUUUCUGUUUUGUAAUUUUAGCAUUGCCCUGAGGGGGGGAAAAGGCAGUUUAUCACCAUGCAGUAUAUUUUUCAGACAGCCUCUCUUUGACAAACUGAUUUUUGUCAGUCUCAACUGACUCACCAAUUCCAAAUCCCAGGGCUUCCCUGGGAAACUUCCUUGGAUCAUGGCUCUGCCACACAGGACCGACAUCCCAGAGGCCAAAGCAACCUGCUAUAAACUGAGAUCAUUGCUCAGCAAGCUGGUACCACAUGCAAGGAGUCUCAAGAGCUAACAGGAAAUGAUUCAAGACCAGAAUUACCCAGAACAAGUGUGUUAGCUUCCUCUGCGCAUGGGAUAAUAAGGAGCUUGCAUCACCAACCUUCCGUGAAUAGCCUACUCAGUGAUUCAACAGGUUUCAAAAUUGUGAAAUAAGGGAUGUCUCUUGCAUGGUGUACUUUAGAAGUCUCUACCUGAGGAUGAAGGAAGUACCCAGGAGUAGGCAUCAUUCCACUUUUGUACCAUCUUCCACUAUGUUUAUAUGGGUCCUCACUGAGAAAAAGAAACUGCACAAAAGAAAGAAAAAUGCAAGUUGGAGAAGAGACCAACAUGGAGCUUGUGCUUGCUCUCAUUAAGAACUCAAUCUCUUGAAAAAUCACAUUCUAAUAUUUCUAUGGGUGAGCACGGAUUUCACAUCAGCUCCCCAUAGCCUUCUUGGGUCCAUCAGUUCAUCACUUCUAGAAGUUGGCCACCUGUGAAGCCACUUAGGGGAGGUCACUCAUCACUGCUGGUGACAGUGGUGCUCUGUGUGUGAAUACUCAUGUUCAUACCCAUGGCAGGGGAUUUUCUCUCCAGGUUAAACAGUGUUGCUGUGUUUCCCUCUCUCUUCCAGUCUCACACGUUCAGGAAAAUUAAUCCCCAAAGUCCUCAUUCAUUAUUUAGCAAAUAUGUUCAAAUAGGAGAGAAUAUCAGCUUAAGUUUAAGCUAAGGCCCUCUGCUAAGGAAAUACAAAAUAUAUAUGUGAAAAGGAAAUUCUAGUUGAAGAACAGUAUGAAAACUCCCAAAAUGGGCUGGAGAAUUUGUGAUUACAGUCUUGAGAGAUCAUUUAAAAAUAGAAUCAGAUUAGCAAAUGCGUUCAGUGCUAGGUAGGGGAGUUAGUCAUAAAUCUAACAGGCUCUAUGUAGAGCCACUGAAGACAGACAUAGUUAAAACUCAAGUUGAUUUCUGUAUAUUAUUUUUAAUGACUUAGAAUUCAAUCCAAAAUUUGCUUAGUGUUAUUGUGUACCUUUAUGCAAAUAAUGUACACUUUCUAAGCAUCAGUUAUUCUUCUGUGAAAUUGGGAUAAUUUUACUUUUGUCAAGGGCUGCCCUGAGGAGUGAAUCAGAUGCUAUACGUAAGCUCAGUGGGUACAAGGCCUAAUAGUAGUGGCUUAAUGCGUGUACUCUUCUUCUUUUUCCUUAAUAGAAGAAUAAGGUGAAAUUAAAAACAAGGUUGAUAAUUACAUGUAUAUUUUAAUGAUUCAUCAAUCAAUAAAUGAUAACAUUAACAAUAAUUUUACUGUCAGUACUUAGAAGUUAAAAGGAGAAUGGUAAAAUCAGUCUGUUGAUCCUAAAAGUUUUAUUUUUUCUUUCAUCCUUUCAUAAAUUAUAUCUGAAUCUAGAUUACUGAAAUGCAACAAAUAAAAAUAUUUACAAAGCUAUCUUCUCUUUUAGUGAAUAUAAUGUUAUUAGAAAAUAACGGUUACUUCAUUAUUCAACAUUCAAUGUGUCUUCUGACUUUCUUACUCCAAUUUAUAUAAAAAAUUUUUAGAAUUUUUAAAUAACAAUGUUAUUGACAUAAAAUUCACAUACCCUGCAAUUUGCUGAUUUAAAAUGUAAAUGAAAUUAUUUUUAGUAUAUGCACAGAGUGAUACAGCCACCAUCGCAAUAAAUUCAAGAACAUUUUAUCGCCUAUCAAAAAACCCUCAUCUCCCUAUAGUCACUCAGCUUCCCUGCCUCACUUCCACAACUCUAGGCAACCACUAAUCUAAUUCCUGUUUCUAUAGGUUUCUCUAUUCUGGACUUUCACAUAUAAGGAAUCAUAUAAUAUGUGGUCUUUUGUCUCUGGCUUCUUUUACUUAGCAUCAUGUUUUCAAGGUUCAUCCAUGCUGAAGCAUGGGUCAGGACUUCAUUCUUUGUAUUGCCAAAUAAUAUUCCAUUGUAUGGAUGCACCACAUUCUAUUUACCCAUUCAGGAUUUAAUGUACAUUUGAGUUGGUUUCCAAAUUUUGGCUAUUGUGAAUAAUGCUGCUAUAGAAUUACAGAAUUUUAGAAGGUGCCAUAUGGCUUAUGUGGCCCGUUCCUCUCCAUUUACAGAUAUGCUAAUGAAGCAUCACAAAAGUGGGGUGAAUAGCCUAUGUCUCAGUGCUUCUCAGUAGCAAAACAUUAACUAGAACCCAGUUCUUGUAAUUAUUUUAUAACUGCCAUUCCCAUCUCUACCAAUAGUUUGCAAGGUUUUAGAGGGACGGCCUUGCACUAACAGUUAAAAUGGAUUAAGUAGCAGAUAUGAGCCAGUCUCUGUAUCCCCAGCAAUAUACAGUGUAGUGGAAUAUACAACACGACUUGGUGAUUGGGUCUGAUUCUAUUAAUCUCUGAAAGACUUAUCCUAGUGCAGAGCACGUAGUGAGCAUAUAAUAGGAAAUUGUGUAACUAGUAUGUUGGAAGAGCUGAAGUCAUGGGGUAUAAGCAUGCAAGCAACUUAAUGUUUGAUUUUUAUUUUCCCUUUAAGCCAUUCAUUGUGGUAGUUUUUUUGAAAUAAUCCUAGAUAAAAAUUUGGAUAGGCCCCAAUAAAUUAAAAGCCCUAGAAUCACAUUAUGUCACAAAACAGCUUUAAUUCAGUACUUAGAAUAGUAAACCUAUGUAAGAAUGAAAGGUUUCAUCUUCACUGAAGUAGAGUCUUCUCUCGUGCCUAAGGCUCACAGCCAGCCAGCAACAUGCAAGGGCUGGGGAGAUAAGGUACAAGAGGAGCUGGUGAGGCCUAAUAAAAUGGAUGCUGUGACAAGAUGGGCCUGUGUUCUCUAGACCUGGCCAGUUGUUACAACCUGUUUCUUUCAUGGCUGCUUUUAUGGGUUCUUUAGAGUUUAUCUCCCCCGUCACUGGGUGGCUACAAUUCUCUUGACACGAAUGAUUUACACCUUUCUGGUUUGUCACUUUAUCCCUCCUUAGCUUCUAGGAAUACAGCAACCCUUCAGCCAGAUCACCCCUCCUGGUGGCCCUACUGGAAAGUUCUAGAUAUUCCUUUGUAUGAAUGGUCCACAUCUGGUUCCCUGGAAAUUCUCAUGCACCCUUUGCCCUCCAAGGGCCAAAUCCAGUGUAGCCUUGCUUCUACUCAUCUUUCAGCAGCAGGGAAAUAUCCUUAUUCCACCCUUCCUCUUUGUUAAACCAGUCAAGUCUGUCCCUCUUCCCACCCUGCUAAAUACUUCAGACCACACAUAUUCUGUCCUCUGAUCAGUUUCCUUCAAGUUCCUCUCUUGACUUGAGAUGGUGAGAAAUAUGUCCUCCCACUUGGAGUGUUGAUGUGUUUAGGGGAGGGGACAGAACUCACAUCACAGCUCUCUCUCCAAGUAAAUAUUCCUGAACAUUCUUUCUGAAGCUUUUGUACUUUAGAUAUAGAAGAGGAGUUCAGCAGUCAGGGAACUGCUUUUUAUUAAAAACAAACAAACAAAACCUAAAACAUUUGACACUUUGCAUUUUGGUCUGUAGCCUUACUUUAGAAUAUCAUAUCUAUUAUAUCUUGGUCUCUCAAAUGUAAUUUACAAUUUAAUGUCUGGUUAUACUUUGAAAUUGUCUAGAAGGCAGGGUAUUACAAUAAAAGGAACAUUGACUUAGAGUGAUACUAGCUAUCAUGUGUGGAACUCUAUACCAGACACCAUGCUAAUUUAUUUAUUUAUUUAUUUAUUUAUUUAAGAUAGUGUCUCACUCUGUCGCUGGGCUGGAGUGCAGUGGUGUGAUCUCAGCUCACUGCAACCUCUGCCUCCUGGGUUCAAGCGAUUCUCCUGCCUCAGCCUCCCAAGUAGCUGGGAUUACAGGCACCUGCCACCCCUGGCUAAUUUUUGUAUUUUUUAGUAGAGACGGGGUUUCACCAUGUUGGCCAGGCUGGUCUUGAACUCCUGGCCUCAAGUCAUCUGCCCUCCUUGGCCUCUUAAAGUGCUGGGAUUACAUGCAUGAGCCACCACACCUGGCCCAAAUAAUUUAUUAACAUUAUCUCAUUAAUCUCUUUCAACAACUCAAUGAUAGAGCUAUUUUGAUCUUCAUUCAAUAAAGCAGGGACUUAAACCUUCAAAAGGUAUCAUCUAGAAUGGUGUACUAAAGGUGUAGUUUAUUUGGGUGCUUUCAACAGGAAGAAACAGAGCAAUCGCACACCCUUAAAUGGCUUCAACAACAGAAAGCAGCACUAUUUUACAUAGUAGUUAACCCAGAGAUAGGGGCCAUGCCAGUGCUAGUUAAUCUGACGGCUCAAGGAUGCGUCAAGCACCUGGGUUCUUUCAAUCUUUUGGUUAUGCAUCCUUGGUAUUUAAGCCUGUCCUAGGCUAGUUCCUUUUGCUAUCACAUGAUGGUUGCCACAUUUCUAGAAAUCAGAUCUAGAUGAGACAAUGCUUAGAAUAAUUGUUUCUCCCUUUUAGUAAAACUCUUCCUAAAUCUCACCAUGAGUGCCUGAACAAAAUGGAAUUCUGCAACAAGGAAGAAAAAGGAGGAUAUACUCUAGGUGUAGAGUUGACGACUGGUUACAGGGGUUUAAGUAACUGGACUUAAGUGGUUAAAGGAGUCUUACCUUCUCAGUUCCUUAGUUCCUUCACCUGUAAAAUCAGAGUUUUGUGUCCUGGUGAUUGUCUAUUUGCUUUUUUAUUACAGCAAAGCUGAUGGUACUUUAUGGUAUCCUUUAAAAGAAGUAAAUAUUUAAGAGUAUGACUUUUAGGUCAUUAACAAGACUGGAUCAUUGUCUUGAAAGUAAAAACACCCACAUUUCAAUUAUUGUUAGUUUUUUGUUCUUUCAGUGAUAAAUCACCAUAUAAUGUUAUGGAAGAGUUACUCAGGAGCUUCGAAUACUUAUCUCUAGAGGCAGCAGAUGUUUGUUUGUUGUAGAUGAAAUAAAUCUCCAAAGUAGACAGAUUUAUCUGUCAAUCAAUAUGGGCAUAUAGAGAGUGAGGAGACAGUGGACCUAGGCAGGCUCACACUGGCUGACCAUCACCCAGGUCAGUUGCCACACUCGUUCUGCAACUUUGAAAGGAACACACAAAGCACAGCCUCAUGCACAGCCAGUGAACAACUGGGCUCAGAUUAUCUGCGGACGCUAUAGUUUAUUUAUUUAUGUAUUUUCUCUUUUUUAGACAAGGGCUUUCCCUGUUGUCCAGGCUGGAAUGCAGAGGUGUGAUCCUAGCUCAUUGCAGCCUCAACCUCCUGGACUCAAGUGAUCCUCCCACCUCGGCCUCCCAAGUAGCUGGGACCACAGGGGUGUACCACCAAGCCCGGCUAAACUCAUUAUGUUGCCCAGGCUGGUCUCAAACUUCUGGCCUCAAGUGAUCCUCCCACCUCGGCAUCCCACAGUGCUAGAAUCACAGAUGUAAGCCACCACACUGGUCCAAGUGCAGUUUAGAUUGUUGCUCAUGCUGUUAGUCAUUUCUGGUUUUGGUUAACUUUUAUUUGUUUUAGACAGUGUCUUGCUCUGUCACCUGGACUGGAGUGCAGUGGUGUGAUCUCAGCUCACUGCAACCUCUGCCUCCGGGGUACAAGCGAUUCUCCUGCCUCAGCCUCCCAAGUAGCUGGGAUUACAGGUACCUGCCACCACACAUGGCUAAUUUUGUAUUUUUAGUAGAGACAGGGUUUUUACUAUGUUGGCCAGGCUGGUCUUGAACUCCCCUGACCUCAAGUGAUUGGCCUGUCUUGGCCUUCCAAAGUGCUGGAAUUUACAGGCGUGAGCCACCAUGCAUGGCCUCAAAUAGUAUUUUCUAAUAGUAUUUUGCACCUUUAAAAUAUUUGUUCAAACUCUAUUUUAGGCUAACCUUUGAGUACAUAGAGAUGUUUGCUCUAUUGCAGAUCUUGCUCUAAAGUUGAUCUUUCUUCCAAGCUCCUGACUUUUAUAUGAAGCUGAAGAUUCCCUAAUUAUACUUCCAUAGCUCAGGAAAAUAACUUUCAGACUUAUCCAAAAUCAAGCUCUUAAUCCUAACUGGAAGUUUUCAAUACCUGCUUAACACUCAGUUCUCAAUUGUAUUUUCUCAGAGAAGUUUCCCUCACUGUCCUGGUCUAAAUGAACUCACUCUGUUGCAUCCUCCUUCUCUCUCAUGAUGUUUAUCACACCAUGCAAUUAUAUAUUCAUUUGUGUGCCUCCUUGCUCAGUGUUUCACACUUCACCAAUCUGUGCAUAUCAGGAGGGUAGUGACCAUGUCUCUUUUGUUCACAAUUACAUUACUUGGCACAGUAUACAGUAGGUGUUCAAUAAGUAUUGUGGAAUUCAUGAAGGAUACUGCACCAUGUUUCAGAAGUUUGAAGAUGCUAGUUUUAUUAUAUCUGAAGAAACCCACCACCUUAUGCAAAAAGAAAUUACUGGGAUGCUUUAAUAUCUAAAACAUCUCUGCUGAAAGAGUCUUGUUUGUUGAAUGGAUUUAGAAAGAGAUAAAACAUUUGAUAGUGAAGAAAUGUUAUAGUAUACUGUCUUUAAUUCCUGGAUUAAAAUUUGAUAUGUUAAGAGAAGUCCAGGGUAAUAAUAGACAAAAAUUACUAGAUAACUCAAACAAAAUGUACUUGAUAUUCACUUAUCAUGAAAUACAGGUUUGUGGACUAGAUUUCUUGCUCAUUAGGAAUAUUAAAGAUCUUCAACUUCCCUUUUUUUGACAAAUUAGCAAGUUUAUGUCCAAAUAGGUUACUUGGUUUGCUCUCUACCAAUGUCACAUUGUAUAGGGGACACUAAUCACUGGUCUUCUAAUUCCUAGUCUGGUAUUUAUUUCAUUUUGUAAUUAUUUUUUAAAAGUUAUGAGGACCAUAAACAUAUUAUUUUGUGACAUAAUCUUAGCAAAAGGGCAAAGAAAGAAACUUUCAGGAUCUUAUUGUUAAGUAGUUGGAAUUUUUAAGUAACUUAUUUUACUAAAAUUUCUCUAAUUCAUAGUAACACUUAUUUCUUUAUUUCUUCAGAAAAAAACGUUGUUGUGAACGUUGGUCAUCCAUAAAAUAGAAUAUUAUUUAGUGAUAAAAGAAAUGAACUAUCAAGCCAUAAAAAAAAGUUCAAGAAACUGAAGUGUAUAUUGCAAAGUAAGCGAACCCAAUUGAAAAGGCUAUAUACUAUAUGAUUCCAACUUUAUGACAUUCUGGAAAAGGCUAAACUAUGGAGACAGUGAACAGAUUAAAAAAAACAAUGGUUACCAGGGUAUGUAGGGGAGGGAGGGAUGAAUAGGUAAAACACAGAAGAUAUUUAGUAUAGAGAAGCUAUUCUAUAUAAUGGUGGAUACGUCAUUAUACAUUUGUCAAAACCUGUAAAAUUUACAACACUAAGAGUGUGAACCCUAAGGUAAACUAUAGACUUUGGGUGAUAAUGAUGUAUCAAUUUGGUUAAUCAAUCAUAACAAGUGUACCACUCUGGUGGGGGAUAUUGAUAUUGGUGGAGGUUGUGCCUGUGGGGUCAGGAGGCAUACAGGGACUCCAUACUUCCCACUCAAUUUUGCUUUGACCCUAAAACUGCUCUAAAAAUAAAAUCUAUUUAUUAAAUGUGAAUAAAUAAAUAGGUAGGUAAGUAGGUAGAUAGAUGAUAGAUAAAUGUUGCUCAUUCCUUUUAUUUUCAUUAGUGAUGGUUCCCACUGUGCAAACAAUUUGUGGAGUGCCCUGCUUUAGAUAGCAAUAGGCAGUGUGGCACGGCAAGGCAUCAAGUCAAACCAGGGUCAGCACUUGGGUUCUGCAGGCUGCACAUUGCCUGCCAUGGUGAACGUGUCCCUCCAAAAUUCCUAUUUGAAAUCCUAACUUUCAAGGUGAUGGCAUUAGGAGAGGAGAUUAGGUCAUGGGGGCUUUGUUUUCAUGAAUGAAAUUAGUGAAAAGAGGCCUGAGGGAGCACCCUUGCCCUUUCCACCAUGUGAGGACACAGCAAGAAGACGGCUGUCUGUGAACCAGGAAGCAAGUCCUCAGCAGACACUGAGUUUGCUGGCACCUUGUCUUUGGACUUCCCAACCUCCAGAAAUAUGAGAAACAAACUUCUCUUAUGUAUAAACUACUUCACUUAUGGUACUUUGUUAUGGCAAUCCAAAUGGAUGAAGACUCUGCCCAGGCUUAUGGGCACCAUCCACAUAGACUAGGAUCUGAUUCUCCUUUGAGUUGUAACAUAGCAGCCCUCAUUCGAGUCCAUCCUCCCUUAGAAAAUUGACUGUGACUUUGGUCAAUAAAUUUAAGCUUUUUGUAUAUUUGGCAUUUCAUUUCCUAUAAAAUUGAGAUCAUAACAUAUACUUCAUAAAGUAUACAAAAAUAAUAUCCCAGAGGAAUAAUUUCUGCUGGGGGCAGAGACCUAUUAAGUGUGGCCUGCUCUAAAGGUUGUUAGAAAUGUUAUUUAUCCAUUACGGCAAAUCCUUCAGGUUUCCUCCUUAGGCUGGACUUUGGAAUCUUCUUGGAAGAUGAGGUUCUUCUUCAAUUCUUCAAUUAAAAAAAAGGCUAAGUUUGAUGAACUACAACAUCAGGAAUAAAAACAGGAAACAAUAUUCCAAGUGUGAUUCCAUCUACCAACGUAGAAGUAUGGACUACAGGCCAGAAUUCAAGAUCUCUAAGCCAUGCUCCAAUUAUCCAUAUUUGUUACUUUUGAUAUUUUCUGUUGCUUUUCCUUUUAGGGUGUAGCAGUUAAAACUUUCACUCUAAAAGUGCUCAGUGCCUGCCUUAGGAGAUACUGAGCACAUCACAGCCCAUCUUGGAAAAACAGACCUGUAAGGAUUUGAAUAGAUGGCAGUAGCCUAAAAAGAAGGGAAGGGAAGCAGGCUAAUGACCAGGAGGUGAUUUCUGUAGCGUGGGAGGAAAAAAAAGUUAUUGUUAGCCAUCCUGGUUCCAAGGGGAAAAGGGGCCGCUGCUGCCUAAGUAAAUUGCCUGACAGUGAGGCUCAAGAAAGAAUUUCCUUUCCUAGGGAGACAGUAUUAUUGGAUCUCUUAGGAAUUGCUUUCUUUCUUCCUGAUUGAAUUAUUCUUAAAUACAAGGUGUAUCUCCUUGUUUGAGUAAUAAUGCAAAUGCUGUUUUAUAUAAACUGUCUUCCCUUGACUCAUCAGAAAAUAAAACAGAAUCAUGGUAUCUAUAAUCCAGUGGCAAAUAUUUUAGAAAAAAACUAAUCUAAAUGGAAGGUAGCCUCACUGACUAUUUAGAGCCUAAUUCUUUUUUUUUUUUUUUAAUUUUUUAUUUUCUUGAGACCGAGUCUUG
This 9959-nucleotide long non-coding RNA is filed under the name Homo sapiens (human). RNAcentral's name for it is "HSALNT0135824". The record is from RNAcentral. Lineage: Eukaryota; Metazoa; Chordata; Mammalia; Primates; Hominidae.